GGAAUGACACAGAUAGAACUCACGGGGCCCAGGGAUUCAGGAAAUGAAGGAUAGGAAAAAGGUCAGCCUACCCCACUGGACCGGAGUCUGCAGGAGAGGAAGAUAGCAUCUGCUUGCCGUGGAGUCUCCAAGACUGGCACUGUGCCUGGCCUUUGGAUUCCUAUAAAACAAAGAACCAAACAGCAGGAUGCCCAGGUCUCCUGAGCCCAGCCCUGCUUUCCUGGGGUUUGAAAUGUUCUUCAUCUGCACAGUGAAGGAAAAUGGUGCUGUCCUCAAGUGGGAGCCUAGUGUGCACUUGGCCCAGAAAUCCAGCAGAAUUAACUAA
Molecule: long non-coding RNA, 325 nt
Filed under: Mus spicilegus (steppe mouse)
Lineage: Eukaryota; Metazoa; Chordata; Mammalia; Rodentia; Muridae
Description: lncRNA (ENSMSIG00000009315.1)
Source: RNAcentral